AGUAAGAUAAGCUAAAUAAAGCUUUUGGGCCCAUACCCCAAAUAUGAUAUUACUAAUAUCUCUUACUA
Molecule: transfer RNA, 68 nt
Filed under: Lampetra aepyptera (least brook lamprey)
Lineage: Eukaryota; Metazoa; Chordata; Hyperoartia; Petromyzontiformes; Petromyzontidae
Description: tRNA-Met
Source: RNAcentral